This 909-nucleotide ribosomal RNA is filed under the name uncultured marine bacterium. RNAcentral describes it as "bacterial SSU rRNA". It matches the Rfam family "Bacterial small subunit ribosomal RNA", at positions 60 to 968 of the family's 1533-position model. The record is from RNAcentral.
AGUCGAGGGGUAACAGAAAAGCUUGCUUUUGCUGACGACCGGCGCACGGGUGCGUAACGCGUAUGCAACCUACCUCAUACUGGAGGAUAGCCCCUGGAAACGGGGAUUAAUACUCCAUAGUAUCACAAUUUCGCAUGUUAUUGUGAUUAAAGUUUUUCGGUAUGAGAUGGGCAUGCGUCCCAUUAGCUUGUUGGUGAGGUAACGGCUCACCAAGGCAACGAUGGGUAGGGGGCCUGAGAGGGUGGUCCCCCACACUGGUACUGAGACACGGACCAGACUCCUACGGGAGGCAGCAGUGAGGAAUAUUGGUCAAUGGAGGAAACUCUGAACCAGCCAUGCCGCGUGAAGGAUGACGGCCCUAUGGGUUGUAAACUUCUUUUAUAGAGGAAGAAACUUGUCUACGUGUAGACAACUGACGGUACUCUACGAAUAAGGAUCGGCUAACUCCGUGCCAGCAGCCGCGGUAAUACGGAGGAUCCAAGCGUUAUCCGGAUUCAUUGGGUUUAAAGGGUCCGUAGGCGGAUUUUUAAGUCAGUGGUGAAAGCCGACAGCUCAACUGUCGAACUGCCAUUGAUACUGGAAAUCUUGAGUACAAAUGAAGUAGGCGGAAUGAGUCAUGUAGCGGUGAAAUGCAUAGAUAUGACUCAGAACACCGAUUGCGAAGGCAGCUUACUAACAUGUAACUGACGCUGAGGGACGAAAGCGUGGGGAGCGAACAGGAUUAGAUACCCUGGUAGUCCACGCCGUAAACGAUCAUCACUCGCUGUUGGCGAUAUACUGUCAGCGGCCAAGCGAAAGUAUUAAGUGAUGCACCUGGGGAGUACGCCGGCAACGGUGAAACUCAAAGGAAUUGACGGGGGCCCGCACAAGCGGUGGAGCAUGUGGUUUAAUUCGAUGAUACGCGAGGAA